GACGAACGCUGGCGGCGUGCCUAAUACAUGCAAGUCGAGCGCAGGAAAUCGACGGAACCCUUCGGGGGGAAGUCGACGGAAUGAGCGGCGGACGGGUGAGUAACACGUAAAGAACCUGCCCUCAGGUCUGGGAUAACCACGAGAAAUCGGGGCUAAUACCGGAUGGGUCAUCGGACCGCAUGGUCCGAGGAUGAAAGGCGCUUCGGCAUCGCCUGGGGAUGGCUUUGCGGUGCAUUAGCUAGUUGGUGGGGUAAUGGCCCACCAAGGCGACGGUGCAUAGCCGACCUGAGAGGGUGAUCGGCCACACGGGGACUGAGACACGGCCCAGACUCCUACGGGAGGCAGCAGUAGGGAAUCUUCCACAAUGGACGAAAGUCUGAUGGAGCAACGCCGCGUGAACGAUGAAGGCCUUCGGGUCGUAAAGUUCUGUUGUAAGGGAAGAACAAGUGCCGCAGGCAAUGGCGGCACCUUGACGGUACCUUGCGAGAAAGCCACGGCUAACUACGUGCCAGCCGCCGCAGUAA
This 524-nucleotide ribosomal RNA is filed under the name uncultured bacterium. RNAcentral describes it as "partial 16S ribosomal RNA". It matches the Rfam family "Bacterial small subunit ribosomal RNA", at positions 28 to 523 of the family's 1533-position model. The record is from RNAcentral.